This 480-nucleotide ribosomal RNA is filed under the name uncultured bacterium. RNAcentral describes it as "partial 16S ribosomal RNA". It matches the Rfam family "Bacterial small subunit ribosomal RNA", at positions 28 to 506 of the family's 1533-position model. The record is from RNAcentral.
GAUGAACGCUGGCGGCGUGCUUAACACAUGCAAGUCGAACGAAGCACUUUAUUUGAUUUCCUUCGGGACUGAUUAUUUUGUGACUGAGUGGCGGACGGGUGAGUAACGCGUGGGUAACCUGCCUUGUACAGGGGGAUAACAGUUGGAAACGGCUGCUAAUACCGCAUAAGCGCACAGCAUCGCAUGAUGCAGUGUGAAAAACUCCGGUGGUAUAAGAUGGACCCGCGUUGGAUUAGCUAGUUGGUGAGGUAACGGCCCACCAAGGCGACGAUCCAUAGCCGACCUGAGAGGGUGACCGGCCACAUUGGGACUGAGACACGGCCCAAACUCCUACGGGAGGCAGCAGUGGGGAAUAUUGCACAAUGGGCGAAAGCCUGAUGCAGCGACGCCGCGUGAGCGAAGAAGUAUUUCGGUAUGUAAAGCUCUAUCAGCAGGGAAGAUAAUGACGUUACCUGACUAAGAAGCACCGGCUAAAUACGU